GACGAACGCUGGCGGCGUGCCUAAUACAUGCGAGUAGAACGCUGAAGGAGGAGCUUGCUUCUCUGGAUGAGUUGCGAACGGGUGAGUAACGCGUAGGUAACCUGCCUGGCAGCGGGGGAUAACUAUUGGAAACGAUAGCUAAUACCGCAUAAUAGUAGAUGUUGCAUGACAUUUGCUUAAAAGGUGCAAUUGCAUCACUACCAGAUGGACCUGCGUUGUAUUAGCUAGUUGGUGGGGUAACGGCUCACCAAGGCGACGAUACAUAGCCGACCUGAGAGGGUGAUCGGCCACACUGGGACUGAGACACGGCCCAGACUCCUACGGGAGGCAGCAGUAGGGAAUCUUCGGCAAUGGACGGAAGUCUGACCGAGCAACGCCGCGUGAGUGAAGAAGGUUUUCGGAUCGUAAAGCUCUGUUGUAAGAGAAGAACGAGUGUGAGAGUGGAAAGUUCACACUGUGACGGUAUCUUACCAGAAAGGGACGGCUAACUACGUG
RNAcentral lists this ribosomal RNA (495 nucleotides) under uncultured bacterium. RNAcentral describes it as "partial 16S ribosomal RNA". It matches the Rfam family "Bacterial small subunit ribosomal RNA", at positions 28 to 507 of the family's 1533-position model. The record is from RNAcentral.